UACGGGGGGUGCGAGCGUUGUCCGGAAUCACUGGGCGUAAAGGGCGCGUAGGUGGUCUGAUAAGGGUGUGGUGAAAGCCCGGGGCUCAACCCCGGGUCGGCCGUGCCGACUGUUAGACUAGAGUACUGUAGGGGCAGGCGGAAUUCCGGGUGUAGCGGUGGAAUGCGUAGAGAUCCGGAGGAAGACCGGUGGCGAAGGCGGCCUGCUGGGCAGUUGCUGACGCUGAGGCGCGACAGGCGUGGGGGAGCAAACAGG
This 255-nucleotide ribosomal RNA is filed under the name uncultured bacterium. RNAcentral's name for it is "partial 16S ribosomal RNA". It matches the Rfam family "Bacterial small subunit ribosomal RNA", at positions 524 to 776 of the family's 1533-position model. The record is from RNAcentral.